This 94-nucleotide transfer RNA is filed under the name Fibroporia radiculosa. It matches the Rfam family "tRNA". From Rfam's summary of the family: Transfer RNA (tRNA) molecules are approximately 80 nucleotides in length. Their secondary structure includes four short double-helical elements and three loops (D, anti-codon, and T loops). The record is from Rfam by way of RNAcentral. Lineage: Eukaryota; Fungi; Basidiomycota; Agaricomycetes; Polyporales; Fibroporiaceae.
GGGCAUUUGGCACAGUGGUAGCGCGCACGCUUCGCAACCUGAAGGUCAGGGAUACUACUGCGUGAGGACCAGAGUUCAAUCCUCUGAAUGUCCA